CCACCGGCCCCAGCACAGAGAAGGAAGCGCCCAGCGCAGCCACAGCGCCACCUGCAGAAGCGGAGGACAGCGCGCAGCAGAAAGAGGCUCCGUACACACUCAUAGGAUCUGUAAGUGAACCAGGUCUGGGUCUUCUGUCCUGGUGGAACAGUUAACAAUAUCUUUGUGUUGUAAACCUCAGCUAAAACUUCUCAUAAGACUCACUGAAGCUCUGUGGAGCGAUCGGUGAGCAGCUGGUGUUGUAAUUUCGCUGUUUUUUGGAGGAUUGUGAUAUUUUGAGUCGAAUUAAAGACUUGCUGUGUCCUACAGAGUUUACUUUAUAGAA
This is a long non-coding RNA of Sinocyclocheilus grahami, 325 nucleotides long. RefSeq lists it as uncharacterized. The record is from RefSeq and is a predicted model, not a curated record. Lineage: Eukaryota; Metazoa; Chordata; Actinopteri; Cypriniformes; Cyprinidae. The transcript has 2 exons.